CUACGUGCCAGCAGCCGCGGUAAUACGGAAGGUUCGGGCGUUAUCCGGAUUUAUUGGGUUUAAAGGGAGCGUAGGCCGGAGAUUAAGUGUGUUGUGAAAUGUAGACGCUCAACGUCUGACUUGCAGCGCAUACUGGUUUCCUUGAGUACGCACAACGUUGGCGGAAUUCGUCGUGUAGCGGUGAAAUGCUUAGAUAUGACGAAGAACUCCGAUUGCGAAGGCAGCUGACGGGAGCGCAACUGACGCUGAAGCUCGAAGGUGCGGGUAUCGAACAGGAUUAGAUACCCUGGUAGUCCGCACAGUAAACGAUGGAUGCCCGCUGUUGGUACUUGGUAUCAGCGGCUAAGCGAAAGCAUUAAGCAUCCCACCUGGGGAGUACGCCGGCAACGGUGAAACUCAAAGGAAUUGACGGGGGCCCGCACAAGCGGAGGAACAUGUGGUUUAAUUCGAUGAUACGCGAGGAACCUUACCCGGGCUUGAA
This 481-nucleotide ribosomal RNA is filed under the name uncultured bacterium. RNAcentral's name for it is "bacterial SSU rRNA". It matches the Rfam family "Bacterial small subunit ribosomal RNA", at positions 501 to 985 of the family's 1533-position model. The record is from RNAcentral.